GUGAAAUAACCUGGGACUUAACGUCCCAAACCAUCUCACAUCCACACACCUUUGUGCACUGUUGAAUAGACCCAAUGAAUAUAUAUAUAUAUAUAUAUAUUUGGGCCUAUUCUAUUAUCUUACAAACAUCUUAUGUAUGUAAGGAAAGUGUUAUCGAAAGAAAAAAAAAUUAA
Molecule: unclassified non-coding RNA, 173 nt
Filed under: uncultured fungus
Lineage: Eukaryota; Fungi
Description: sequence contains ITS1
Source: RNAcentral